CCUACGGGUGGCAGCAGUGAGGAAUAUUGGUCAAUGGCCGGAAGGCUGAACCAGCCAAGCCGCGUGAAGGACGAAGGUGCCAAGAAUUGUAAACUUCUUUUGUCAAGGGACAAAAACAGGCCCGAGAGCCUGAACGAGGGUACUUGAAGAAAAAGCAUCGGCAAACUCCGUGCCAGCAGCCGCGGUAAUACGGAGGAUGAGAGCGUUAUCCGGAUCUAUUGGGUUUAAGGGGUGCGUAGGUUGACUGUUAAGUCAGCGGUAAAAGCCCGGGGCUCAACCCCGGCGAGCCGUGGAAACUGGCUGUCUUGAGAUGUCGAGAGGUAUGCGGAAUGCGCAGUGUAGCGGUGAAAUGCUUAGAUAUUGCGCAGAACUCCGAUUGCGAAGGCAGCAUACCGGCGGCGAUCUGACGCUGAGGCACGAAAGCGUGGGUAUCGAACAGGAUUAGAUACCCCUGUAGUC
Molecule: ribosomal RNA, 459 nt
Filed under: uncultured bacterium
Lineage: Bacteria
Description: partial 16S ribosomal RNA
Rfam family: Bacterial small subunit ribosomal RNA
Source: RNAcentral